This 460-nucleotide ribosomal RNA is filed under the name uncultured bacterium. Its description in RNAcentral is "partial 16S ribosomal RNA". It matches the Rfam family "Bacterial small subunit ribosomal RNA", at positions 338 to 795 of the family's 1533-position model. The record is from RNAcentral.
CCUACGGGAGGCAGCAGUGAGGAAUAUUGCUCAAUGGACGAGAGUCUGAACCAGCCCAGUAGCGUGAAGGAUGACUGCCCUAUGGGUUGUAAACUUCUUUUAUAUGGGAAUAAAACGUUCCACGUGGUGGAUUUUGUAUGUACCAUAUGAAUAAGGCUCGGCUAAAUCCGUGACAGCAGCCGCGGUAAUGCGGAGGAUACGAGCGGUAUCCGGAUUUAUUGGGUUUAAAGCGAGCGUAGGUGGUGUGUUAAGUCAGUUGUGAAAGUUUGCGGCUCAACCGUAAAAUUGCAGUUGAAACUGGCAGACUUGAGUACAGUAGAGGUGAGCGGAAUUCGUGGUGUAGCAGUGAAAUGCUUAGAUAUCACGAAGAACUCCGAUUGCGAAGGCAGUUCACUGGACUGCAACUGACACUGAGGCUCGAAAGUGUGGGUAUCAAACAGGAUUAGAUACCCCAGUAGUC